This 233-nucleotide unclassified non-coding RNA is filed under the name Helotiales sp. RNAcentral's name for it is "partial contains small subunit ribosomal RNA, internal transcribed spacer 1, and 5.8S ribosomal RNA". The stretch from base 1 to 46 matches the Rfam family "Eukaryotic small subunit ribosomal RNA", at positions 1786 to 1831 of the family's 1831-position model. The record is from RNAcentral. Lineage: Eukaryota; Fungi; Ascomycota; Leotiomycetes; Helotiales.
AAGUCGUAACAAGGUCUCCGUAGGUGAACCUGCGGAAGGAUCAUUACAGAGUUCAUGCCCUCACGGGUAGAUCUCCCACCCUUGAAUAUCAUACCUUUGUUGCUUUGGCGGGCCGCCUCGGCUACCGGCUUCGGCUGGUGAGUGCCCGCCAGAGGACCCCAAACUCUGAAUAUUAGUGUCGUCUGAGUACUAUAUAAUAGUUAAAACUUUCAACAACGGAUCUCUUGGUUCUG